UACAGAGGGUGCAAGCGUUAAUCGGAAUUACUGGGCGUAAAGCGUGCGUAGGUGGUUUACUAAGUCGGAUGUGCAAUCCCUGGGCUCAACCCAGGAACUGCAUCCGAGACUGGAAGGCUAGAGUACUGGAGAGGGUGGUGGAAUUCCUCGUGUAGCGGUGAAAUGCGUAGAGAUGAGGAGGAACACCAGUGGCGAAGGCGGCCACCUGGACAGUAACUGACGCUCAUGCACGAAAGCGUGGGUAGCAAACAGG
This 253-nucleotide ribosomal RNA is filed under the name uncultured bacterium. RNAcentral's name for it is "partial 16S ribosomal RNA". It matches the Rfam family "Bacterial small subunit ribosomal RNA", at positions 524 to 776 of the family's 1533-position model. The record is from RNAcentral.